CCGCGCAGACGCGCCUGUGGACGAGCGUGCGUUCUGCGCCGGGAGAGAGCCGGUGGGACACUAAGAACAGCAGGCGCCUUUGCUUAUUCUCAGGACCGUUUUGUCACAGGGCUACACCCUGCAGACCACGAAGGAGCUCCUGUCCCCACCGGUCCUCUAGCCGCCGAGCCCUCCUGGCCUGUCCCCGUCGGGGUGACGGCGGGAGUGUCCCUGAGCAGAUGUGGGGGCCCUGGUGCUCUCGAACCUUCUUGUCCCCUCCUCCCCCUCCCGUCGGUCCCCACACCAGCCCAGCAAGUAGGGGUCUUCUCCUUGGGCCCGGGCCCUCCUCAGCUGCGUUCCUUCAUUCCCAGAACGCGGAGGUCCCCGGGCCCGCAGGCCGGGGUGGCUUCAUAUACCUCGUCCUCCGUCCCCCAGAUGCGAGUUUUGUUGGCGGGGUUAAGGCCCGUGGCAAAGGAUCUUAAACCGCGCAGUGUACGCAGUCAAAGUUGUAUUCCACAGGCAUAAGUAUCUUCUUUUCCUGUUACUGUGACACUGUGUGUGAUGGGAAUACUUCUGAGGGUUUCAGAGUUUUGCACAUAUGAUUUUAUGCAUUAUCAAAAGUUACUGCUGCCUUGAAUGAAAAUGUUCUGUGAAAUUUUUUGCAAAAGCUUUACUAGGUUUUUUUUAAUUGUGAAAUUUUGUAAAGGCAGGAAGUGGAUUAAAACAAGCAUGCUAAAUAUAUUUUUCAAAAAAGCAAUAAUUUUACAUGUACAGAAAUUACCCUAACCUUUAAUAUUGGUGAGAGCAACAGUUUACUUAAUACAGUAAUGGAUUAGUGCAGUUUUUGUAGAAGACGGGCUUCUGAUACAAAGAUUUGUUGAAACGCGUGCGUGCGCUCAUGUUCACAUACCCUGAAGUGUGGUUUUCCUGUUCUAAUGAUUUGUUGAGUUAUUAUUAUAUUAUUAUUAUUGUUGAUGUUGUUAUUAGUUAAUGUUGGGUUCGGGAUUCUACUUGUUACUGAGGUUGAAUUACUUGAUGGUUCAGGUCACUUUGUGACACUCGCAGAUAAUGGAACGUAACUGGCUGGCUGACACAUACACGUGUGUCUACACACGCAUGUAUACACGUAUGUGUACACAUGUGCACACGUGUGUGUGUGUGACUUUCUUACUUUUUCCUGAUAAUUCUUGUACCAGAUGUGUACCAGAGUGAGUGGGAUUGUCCACGCAGAUGCUACAUUAAGCAACUCUGAUCGGCUGUUCCGUGAAGUUGUUUUGAGCAAAUUUGCAGUCACACAUUCCUCUGUUCACCUUAGGAGUCAGAAAGCCUUUCUGUUGACUUAUGUUGGGUCAUUUCGAUCGCCUCCCCUGAGUGAUCAUUUCUGCAUUGCGCUUUCUCUGCCGAAAGCAAGCAGUGGUAGGAACACACGGGCUGGCGACGCAGUCCUGUUUCCCUGUGUUCUGGCCAUUAAACAGUUCUAUACCCACAGUGACACGUAAGUGUCGUGUCCCUUCUUGCUGCCCCAGCAGCGGCUCGCCGGAGCCCAGCGGGGAGGGGGCUUCCUGGGGACCAUGCUCCUGGGUGCCUGGUGGAGAGAGGGGCGCGUGCCCGGGGUCCCUUUGACAGAGCGCACACCAGGUCGGCCUCCGUCACUGUGUGCUGCGUAGAGUAGGUUUCAGGUAACUGAGCGGACGGCGAGGACCCUCCGGGGAAGCCCCCUCCAAGACGCACGGUCCUCGGGCCUGACUGCGGCUCCUUCCUCCUCUGGUGGUCAGUACUGUCUCGGUUUGUUAGUGCGUUUAUGUUUGACCAUAGUAUUUAAUAUGAUUUGUGUUUUCUUAUUUAUUUAGCCAGUGUGUUUGAUUUGCUCUUUUCUGAAUGAUAAUUUCCGCACGAUCUCUCCUGUAAGUCACCUUCCGACUGUUACAGACUCCUGCUACCUCUACCGAUCUGCUGUCUCCUCGUGUCUCCACCGGGUUUUUACAGUGUUGGCGUCUAAUGUAACUUAGACAAUAAAGGGUUUGGUUGCUGCCCCGCGGCUUCCGGGUGUGUCUGCCCGUCCCCACCCCCCCUCGUGCUCCGGCUGCUCCCGGCGCGGCCCUGGCCGUCUGGCUCCCCUCCUCGCCGCUCCUCCUUCCUGCUCACGGCUCUGAGGCAUUGUUGAACUCAAGUAACACGUGAAUAAUGAGCUUCUAGGAAUCUUUCAGGUUAUUCACUCAUAUUCCUUAACUUGAAGAAUGAACACUGAAGUUCUCUGAAGCUCCGGCGGGUCAGCCUCUGCCCGCGGGACGGUCGCCCACGCCGCCCCCGCCUCGUCCUGGAAGGUCUCCGGUGGCUCCGAUGGACGACGGGCCGUGUGCUGUUUUACUGCUUUUCUCUUUGGUGAGUUCUAAUCGCAGAGCGUUCUGUUCGCUGAGAAACAAAACCGCCCCAGGCCAGGGGCCGAGGAGGACCUUCAUUCUUCGUCAACCUUGCUAAUUAUACUUUGAGGCCGUAAAAUGCAAAAGACCAUAGAGUUUGUAUUUCUUUUUUUAAAUACAAUUUAUAACAUUAUAUUUUGUACUCUUUAUAUUAGAAUUUGUAACUAGAUUGAUGUAUUUAACUAUUUCUGAAAAAAAAAUAAUUCAAUGUUUCAGUUAUGUGAUAAAAAUAUUUAGAUAAAACAUAUUCAUUCUAUUGGAAUUUGAAAUCAAUAAAAAGAUCUUGGCGUUCUCGA
Long non-coding RNA from Suricata suricatta (meerkat), 2695 nucleotides. RefSeq lists it as uncharacterized. The transcript has 2 exons. Lineage: Eukaryota; Metazoa; Chordata; Mammalia; Carnivora; Herpestidae. The record is from RefSeq and is a predicted model, not a curated record.